RNAcentral lists this ribosomal RNA (442 nucleotides) under uncultured bacterium. Its description in RNAcentral is "partial 16S ribosomal RNA". It matches the Rfam family "Bacterial small subunit ribosomal RNA", at positions 338 to 795 of the family's 1533-position model. The record is from RNAcentral.
CCUACGGGAGGCAGCAGUGGGGAAUAUUGGGCAAUGGGCGCAAGCCUGACCCAGCAACGCCGCGUGAAGGAAGACGGCUUUCGGGUUGUAAACUUCUUUUGACAGUGAAGAUCAGAACACUGUACCUGUCGAAUAAGCCACGGCUAACUACGGGCCAGCAGCCGCGGUAAUACGUAGGUGGCAAGCGUUGGCCGGAUUUACUGGGUGAAAAGGGCGUGUAGCCGGGCUGACAAGUCAGAUGUGAAAUCCGGGGGCUCAACCCGCGAACUGCAUUUGAAACUGUUGGUCUUGAGUAAAGGAGAGGCAGGCGGAAUUCCUGGUGUAGCGGUGAAAUGCGUAGAUAUCAGGAGGAACACCAGUGGCGAAGGCGGCCUGCUGGGCGACAACUGACGGUGAGGCGCGAAAGCGUGGGGAGCAAACAGGAUUAGAUACCCCAGUAGUC